UACGUAGGGUGCGAGCGUUGUCCGGAAUUAUUGGGCGUAAAGGGCUCGUAGGCGGUUUGUCGCGUCGGGAGUGAAAUCCACUGGCUUAACUGGUGGCUUGCUUUCGAUACGGGCAGACUAGAGUUCGGUAGGGGAGACUGGAAUUCCUGGUGUAGCGGUGAAAUGCGCAGAUAUCAGGAGGAACACCGGUGGCGAAGGCGGGUCUCUGGGCAACAACUGACGCUGAGGAGCGAAAGCGUGGGGAGCGAACAGG
This 253-nucleotide ribosomal RNA is filed under the name uncultured bacterium. Its description in RNAcentral is "partial 16S ribosomal RNA". It matches the Rfam family "Bacterial small subunit ribosomal RNA", at positions 524 to 776 of the family's 1533-position model. The record is from RNAcentral.